This 443-nucleotide antisense RNA is filed under the name Pan troglodytes (chimpanzee). The stretch from base 6 to 188 matches the Rfam family "Taurine upregulated gene 1 conserved region 4". The record is from RNAcentral. Lineage: Eukaryota; Metazoa; Chordata; Mammalia; Primates; Hominidae.
CCCAUUGGGAUCAAAUCAAAGGCACAGUGAACUCCUCAUAGCAUCUUCUUUGGAAUUACUCAGGAACCAGAACUUUUUACACAAAUGUAAGAAAUUCUACCAAGGAGUCCCCUUACCUAACAGCAUCUCACAAGGCUGCACCAGAUUCCAGAAGAGGCUUCUCUUGAUACAUCAAGGCUUUGUGGCCAUGAAGCCCUUUGAGUGAAAACUGUGCAGAAGCCCAGAGUAAAAGUGAAGCUGCUCUGGAUGAAGUAGUGAAGCAAGAGUAGGGGCCUGAAUCCUGCUACAACUAUCUUCCUUUACCACCGUGGUGACACCUAAGGGGACUUCCUUACAACACCUUGAACUCUUCCGAACACAGUUUGAAAACCACUGCCCCAGACAGCAAUAUGUUUGACCUGAAUGGCAUUCCAAUCUUUUCUGUACCUCCACUCAGCACAGUU